Molecule: transfer RNA, 71 nt
Filed under: Loxodonta africana (African savanna elephant)
Lineage: Eukaryota; Metazoa; Chordata; Mammalia; Proboscidea; Elephantidae
Rfam family: tRNA
About the family: Transfer RNA (tRNA) molecules are approximately 80 nucleotides in length. Their secondary structure includes four short double-helical elements and three loops (D, anti-codon, and T loops). Further hydrogen bonds mediate the characteristic L-shaped molecular structure. tRNAs have two regions of fundamental functional importance: the anti-codon, which is responsible for specific mRNA codon recognition, and the 3' end, to which the tRNAs corresponding amino acid is attached (by aminoacyl-tRNA synthetases). tRNAs cope with the degeneracy of the genetic code in two manners: having more than one tRNA (with a specific anti-codon) for a particular amino acid; and 'wobble' base-pairing, i.e. permitting non-standard base-pairing at the 3rd anti-codon position.
Source: Rfam by way of RNAcentral
GCAAUGGUGGUUCAGUGGUAGAAUUCUCGCCUUCCGUGCAGGAGAUGUGGGUUCAAUUCCCGGCCAGCGCA